GAAAAAGAAGAGUGGCGAACGGGUGAGUAACACGUGGGUAACCUGCCCAUCRGARGGGGAUAACRCUUGGAAACAGGUGCUAAUACCGUAUAACAAUCARAACCGCAUGGUUUUGAUUUGAAAGGCGCUUUCGGGUGUCGCUGAUGGAUGGACCCGCGGUGCAUUAGCUAGUUGGUGAGGUAACGGSUCACCAAGGCCACGAUGCAUAGCCGACCUGAGAGGGUGAUCGGCCACAUUGGGACUGAGACACGGCCCAAACUCCUACGGGAGGCAGCAGUAGGGAAUCUUCGGCAAUGGACGAAAGUCUGACCGAGCAACGCCSCGUGAGUGAAGAAGGUUUUCGGAUCGUAAAACUCUGUUGUUAGAGAAGAACAAGGAUGAGAGUAACUGUUCAUCCCUUGACGGUWUCUAACCAGA
RNAcentral lists this ribosomal RNA (417 nucleotides) under Enterococcus durans. Its description in RNAcentral is "bacterial SSU rRNA". Lineage: Bacteria; Bacillati; Bacillota; Bacilli; Lactobacillales; Enterococcaceae. The record is from RNAcentral.